This is a long non-coding RNA of Equus asinus (donkey), 2407 nucleotides long. The record is from Ensembl. NCBI's taxonomy places the organism in Eukaryota, Metazoa, Chordata, Mammalia, Perissodactyla, Equidae.
GACUGCAUGGAUUCCUCAGGGACCACAUGGCUUCCUUUCCUUGUUUUUCAAAGAAUAUGGGAAUGAUGGGUCUGACAUCUAUUUCUGAUGAAAUUAGCAUUUGGCUAAUUGCUUCUCAGCAUCUCUGUUACACAUUUGCUAAUACUUCCUCUUUGCUCAGUUGCACAGGGAGCCUCACACGCCAUCUUCAUCAGAUGGGAUAUCAUACACCGUGACGUAAGCCCAGUGUCUCAGGAGACAUAACGCAAAUCAGCAAACGCUCUUGGAAGUAAAUAUAAACUGGAAGGGAAGGGACAUACAGGGGGGCUCCAGGCAGAAAAGGGGGCCCAUGUUUGGUUUAAAAUAUAAAUAUAAAGCUUGAAUGGGGGAGAAACCAAAAUGCUCCAUUUCCUUUCAUAUUAUCAUAAAUGUGGUUAAUGAUGCUCCCGAAAGUACUCAGAGGCUUGGCUGUCAGCAGAUGGUGCAGCUUCCCUUAUCAGUCCAACAGCAGGGCUAACAUGACCCUGUAGAAAUAUGUUUUUCUCCACUGCAUCUGUGUAAAUAAACACUGGCAGUUUCUAAUAUGGAGCUGCUUGCCCGUAAAGUGAUCUAAGUGUUGUAAACUUAAUUCACAAAUGAUGGCGCACCUCCAGUUGGACUUAAAACACCGAUUUGCUAAUUCCUCUGAUUUUCCCUUUUCUUCUUGCUCUUGACCCUGACAGAUUAUCACCCUGAAAGUGAGCAAAUAGUUCCAAGCCAGAGGGUCCCAUUUGUUUCUAGGACUCAACUUCUACUUCUUUGAAAGAGAAUGAUGGUUGUGAUCCCAAAUAGCUAGAGGCGAUUAUUAACAGGCUAUCCCCAUGGGGCUCAGAACUUGGAGAUCUGGAACAAGGAAGCGAAGGAUUUGACCCAUGUGGAGCUAGCAACAGGCCUGGGGGAUGCUAAAUAUUUGUGCAUGAUGUAAGAAAGCUUGAGCCUCGGCAUCGAUCUCUAGAUGAGAUGAUACAGCUGAGCGGUAAAGAGCUAAGAACCUGGAUCUGGGUUUGAAUUCUGCUCUGUCACGUAGUAGCCCCUUGCCCUUGAGUGAUUUACUCAAACUUUCAGGGUUUGUUUCACAGCUCACCUGGGAGGAUAAUAGUAGACUUAAAUAGAGUCAUUGUGAGAAUUAAAUGAAAUAAUUUAUGUAAAUAUUUAACACAGUCCUUGUGUGAACUAUUACAUUAAUAACAAGAAUAGUAGUCAUAGAUAUUCCAUUGGGGAAUGGUUACAUUCUUGCUGGUAGGAUACCCAGCCUGGGAUAAGACUUCAAGAACUAAGAAGGUAGUCCAGGACACACAAAUCUCUGGAGUCUUGGGGAGCAGGAAAUCCUACAGGAGAGGAAAGGGUCAGCCAGAUGGACAAGAAGCACCACCUUGCGAUGCGUUGGCAAUGGUGAGGCUCAGAUUUUCAUGGGUAAUGGAGCUGGCCAAGGAGAAGGUGGCUGGGAGAAGAGGUCCCUCCAUUGGAGCAGGAGAGAAUCAAGAAGGAGCAACUUUGCUGGAAGAGCCAGUUAGCUGCUACCACUGAGAAGGCAUUAGCUCUCAAAGUAGACUCCCGAGGAGUGGUCCCAGCAGCGGCUUCUGCCAGCAGAGGGCAAUGCCAAUGGACAGAAAGGGAGUUACUCUCUUCAAUAAAACUCUUCAAUAGCUUCCCAUGGCCGUAAGAGAAAAAUAAAACUCCUUUCCAUGGGCAACAGGGCUGUGCCUUCUGAACUCUCAUGCAUCAGUUCCCCCCAUGCUCCCUUUAAGCAUCUCCCUCCGGCCACAUUGGCUUCCUUUCAGUCCAUGAAACACCUCAAGCUGUUUCCAAGCUCACAGCCUUGGCAAUAUCAGUCUCCCUUGAUACUUGCCUAUCUCCUCUAUAUCCAGUUAACUCCCAUUACUCCACACAUUUCAGCUCCAGCAUCACUUCUUCAGAUAAGCAUUUCUACUCAUAACAAGCAUCCCCUCUGUUAUGGCCUCAUCUCUCAACUGUCCUGCCAGUCUAGGAGCUGCUGGCUUUCCACCGUGACUGGUCCUCAAAUGCUUCAAAUCUUUGUUAAUUUUCUUAACUUCCGUUAGUGCUUCCUCCUUUAAAGACUCUUCAAAGUCCAGGAUUGUGCUAGACUCUUGACUGAUAUCUUCUUCCCAAAUCAGGAAAAAACACUGUCAGAGACCCCAAGUUUACAGAACAUACUUGACCGUCUAAUCGUUCUACGAAGUUUACGCCUGCCUUUUCCACUACGGUAGCAUGGGCUUGUAAAUUAGAGGCAAUCAGCAUGUUUUAAGACAGCUGAGUGGAGACUUCGGCACAGCUGGUCAGGGAAAACAGGCUCAGAAACAUAGCCCAGGAUCCUUCAGCACACAGUGCUGCCCCGACUGUCCACACCUGGAUGGGGCUGUCAUCAGGC